Molecule: long non-coding RNA, 1058 nt
Organism: Cornus florida
Lineage: Eukaryota; Viridiplantae; Streptophyta; Magnoliopsida; Cornales; Cornaceae
Exons: 3
Source: RefSeq, a predicted model, not a curated record
GAGCAUGAAUCUGAAUAUAUAGGAUACGUAAUUGUAGAUUAAUAAUUACAAUUUUUUUUUUUUUUUUUUGUUUGAAAGUUGAAAUUGUAAUAAGUACAAUGUUCUUAACCAAUAAGGAUGAAGAUUGUAUCAAAUCAGUAACAAUGAACUUUAUUUCCCCUGAUAAGAUAGUCAAAGAGAGUAACUGGCAAAAAUUUUAAUAUAAUAAAUUAAUUAGAUAAUAGAUGAAAAACCUUGAUCCCACGAUAAAUCCCAGAGCGAGCCCCCCAUUAUCUGACUUAAUUUUGCCUGAAGUGCAUGUUAACCUUGAGGACGAUGAAGCUGUGAAGAAGAUGAACCUCACAGUCACCGAUAAGAUGCUUACUCAGGCUUCCUAUUUAAUGCUCUCAGAUGUACACACAGAAAACUUCGGCAAGGAAACCACCGACCGGGUGCUUCGCGAGGCCAGCCGCGGUUGGUUCAGCUCAUGGAUUCCUUGGUUCUAGGACCUACUGAUUGGAGCCCUUGAAACCUGUUCCCAUCAAUGCACUGCUUGCAGUUAAAGGAACGCCUCUGGAAGAUCAGAAGCCAGUUGAAAUAUGGGAGAUGAUUUGGAUGAUUGCCACAGCCCGUAUCGUGAUGCCAAAAGCAAUGAUGUGGCUGUCAGCUGGCAGAGUUCGGUUCUCUUUGCCAAAGCAGGCAUUGUGCUUUCUUGCAGGCGCAAAUUCCAUAUUCACCGGCAAGAGGCUCCCGGACAACUACCAACAAUGAUUUUGAUGCUGAUCAACUCAUGUUCAACGUGCUUGGACUUACUCCUAAACCCCUCCAGUUUUUCUGACAGCACAGAGGAUUUUGAAACAGAAAAUAUAGAGCAAGCUGUUUCCAGUUCAGGUUGAGAUUACCGUAUCAAGGGUUUUUUUUUACUUUUUUUUUGGUUUGUUACCAAGAUCAUUUAAUGUUAUAAGUUAUAACUAUUGAAUCUCUCUCUACUACAUGCGCACAAAUGCUCUGUUGUGUUUCUGCUCUCUGUGCGUACUUUGAACUUGGCUUUUCUUAUUUACUGAUAACUAUAAGCCUGC